GUAGGGAAUCUUGCGCAAUGCGCGAAAGCGUGACGCAGCAACGCCGCGUGGGGGAAGAAGGCCUUCGGGUUGUAAACCCCUUUCAGGAGGGACGAAGGUGCGGCGGCGAACAGCCGUCCGUACUGACGGUACCUCCAGAAGAAGCCCCGGCUAACUACGUGCCAGCAGCCGCGGUAAUACGUAGGGGGCUAGCGUUGUCCGGAAUCAUUGGGCGUAAAGCGCGCGUAGGCGGCCCGGUAAGUCCGCUGUAAAAGUCCAGGGCUCAACCCUGGAAAGCCGGUGGAUACUGUCGGGCUCGAGUCCGGAAGAGGCGAGUGGAAUUCCUGGUGUAGCGGUGGAAUGCGCAGAUAUCAGGAGGAACACCAAUAGCGAAGGCAGCUCGCUGGGACGGUACUGACGCUGAGGCGCGAAAGCGUGGGGAGCGAACAGGAUUAGAAACCCUAGUAGUCC
RNAcentral lists this ribosomal RNA (450 nucleotides) under uncultured bacterium. RNAcentral describes it as "bacterial SSU rRNA". It matches the Rfam family "Bacterial small subunit ribosomal RNA", at positions 354 to 796 of the family's 1533-position model. The record is from RNAcentral.